GCUAAGAAUAUUCCGCAAUGGAGGAAACUCUGACGGAGCGACGCCGCGUGGAUGAUGAAGGCCGGAAGGUUGUAAAAUCCUUUUGAGUGUGAUGAAUAAAGCUUACAGGAAAUGGUAAGAAGAUGACCGUAGCACUUGAAUAAGGGGCGGCUAAUUACGUGCCAGCAGCCGCGGUAACACGUAAGCCCCGAGCGUUGUUCGGAAUUAUUGGGCGUAAAGGGCAUGUAGGCGGUUGUGCAAGCUUGGUGUGAAAUGCCGGGGCUUAACUCCGGCACUGCGUUGAGAACUGCACGACUAGAGUAACUGAGGGGCAGCCGGAAUUCCAGGUGUAGGGGUGAAAUCUGUAGAUAUCUGGAAGAACACCAAUGGCGAAGGCAGGCUACCAGCAGAUUACUGACGCUGAGGUGCGAAGGUGCGGGGAGCAAACAGG
This 430-nucleotide ribosomal RNA is filed under the name uncultured rumen bacterium. RNAcentral describes it as "bacterial SSU rRNA". It matches the Rfam family "Bacterial small subunit ribosomal RNA", at positions 354 to 776 of the family's 1533-position model. The record is from RNAcentral.